GGCGUUAAGUUGCAGGGUAUAGACCCGAAACCCGGUGAUCUAGCCAUGGGCAGGUUGAAGGUUGGGUAACACUAACUGGAGGACCGAACCGACUAAUGUUGAAAAAUUAGCGGAUGACUUGUGGCUGGGGGUGAAAGGCCAAUCAAACCGGGAGAUAGCUGGUUCUCCCCGAAAGCUAUUUAGGUAGCGCCUCGUGAAUUCAUCUCCGGGGGUAGAGCACUGUUUCGGCAAGGGGGUCAUCCCGACUUACCAACCCGAUGCAAACUGCGAAUACCGGAGAAUGUUAUCACGGGAGACACACGGCGGGUGCUAACGUCCGUCGUGAAGAGGGAAACAACCCAGACCGCCAGCUAAGGUCCCAAAGUCAUGGUUAAGUGGGAAACGAUGUGGGAAGGCCCAGACAGCCAGGAUGUUGGCUUAGAAGCAGCCAUCAUUUAAAGAAAGCGUAAUAGCUCACUGGUCGAGUCGGCCUGCGCGGAAGAUGUAACGGGGCUAAACCAUGCACCGAAGCUGCGGCAGCGACGCUGAUGCGUUGUUGGGUAGGGGAGCGUUCUGUAAGCCUGUGAAGGUGUGCUGUGAGGCAUGCUGGAGGUAUCAGAAGUGCGAAUGCUGACAUAAGUAACGAUAAAGCGGGUGAAAAGCCCGCUCGCCGGAAGACCAAGGGUUCCUGUCCAACGUUAAUCGGGGCAGGGUGAGUCGACCCCUAAGGCGAGGCCGAAAGGCGUAGUCGAUGGGAAACAGGUUAAUAUUCCUGUACUUGGUGUUACUG
This 769-nucleotide ribosomal RNA is filed under the name Escherichia coli. RNAcentral describes it as "partial 23S ribosomal RNA". It matches the Rfam family "Bacterial large subunit ribosomal RNA", at positions 691 to 1456 of the family's 2925-position model. Lineage: Bacteria; Pseudomonadati; Pseudomonadota; Gammaproteobacteria; Enterobacterales; Enterobacteriaceae. The record is from RNAcentral.